RNAcentral lists this ribosomal RNA (283 nucleotides) under unidentified marine bacterioplankton. RNAcentral's name for it is "partial 16S ribosomal RNA". It matches the Rfam family "Bacterial small subunit ribosomal RNA", at positions 55 to 339 of the family's 1533-position model. The record is from RNAcentral. RNAcentral also lists the same sequence under 1 other name.
AUGCAAGUCGAACGAUGAAGUUCCUUCGGGAAUGGAUUAGUGGCGAACGGGUGAGGAACACGUGAGAAACCUGCCUUUCAUUCUGGGAUAACACCGGGAAACCGGUGCUAAUACCGGAUACUCCAUCUUGGCGGCAUCGCCGAGCUGGGAAAAAAUUUUGAUGAAAGAUGGUCCCCGCGGCCUAUCAGCUAGUUGGUGAGGUAAAGGCUCACCAAGGCGACGACGGGUAGCCGGCCUGAGAGGGCGACCGGCCACACUGGGACUGAGACACGGCCCAGACUCC